AUCCAGUUGUGGUCGACCACACUAUUAAAAAGAUGUUGAGGCUCUAGGAAGAGGGCAGAGAAGAGCAACCAGGAUGAUGAGGGGACAGGAGGGUAAAACAUAUGAAGAACGGUUGCAGGAACUGGGCCUGGCUAGUCUAGGGAAGAGAAGGACCAGGAUAGUAAUAUUCCAAUAUUUGAGGGCUGCCACAGAGAAGAGGAAGGGAUCAAGCUAUUCUCCAAGGCCAGACAAGGAAUAAUGGAUGGAAACUGAACAAGAGAUUCAACCUGGAAAUAAGGAGGAAUUUUCUGACAGGGAGAACCAUCAACCAAUGGAACAGAAGUUGCCUUCGGAAGUUGUGGGAGCUUCAUCCCUGGAGGCUUUCGAGAAGACUGGAUUGCCAUCUGUCAAAAAUGGUGUAGGGCAGGGGUCCCCAAACUUGGCCACUUUAAGACUUGUGGACUUCAAUUCCCAGAAUUCUCCAGCCAGCAUAGCUAGCUGGAGAAUUCUGGGAGUUGAAGCCCACAAGUCUUAAAGUGGCCAAGUUUGGGGACCCCUGAUGUAGGGUCUCCUGCUUGGGCGGGGGGUUGGACUAGAUGACCUACAAGGCCCCUUCCAACUCUGUUAAUCUGCACAUCUGGCCGAUGGGACGCCAAACCCAAAGGCAGGCAAGGGUAUUUGGGUCUGGCAGCCAAACAGGCGUCAAGUAUCACAACGUCUUAAGAGCAAAGCAGGCCCUUUUCUUAUCACCGUUUCCAGAUGGAGCAGCUGGUGGCUGAAGUGGGUUGUGGGGUUGUGUGUGUGUGUGUGGGCGGGGGAGAGAGAGGAGAGAGGGAAUUUGUGCCACUUAAAAACCAGUGACCUUCUGUGGGGAUCAACCUGACGCUUGGCAUUCACCCAGUUUGGCCCCUUUUGGGAGCGUUGAGCGCUGCUGGAAUUUGGGGAGAUAAUGAUGGUGACGGCUGGCCUAUCCUGGCUUAAUGAAGCUGGUUUUGAACUUCCUGACCCAGAAAUGCAACCAAGAACGAAGCGCCUGGCAAGCUUACCCCCAUUGUGCUUGGUUUACUGAUGUGCCCACCGGGCCGGGGAAAAAGGUCAACGGUCAGGAAGAAGGGUCAGGCAAGUCACAGAGGAUGGCAAGUAGCAUUUUGAUACACUGGAGCUUGCACAUUAAUAAAAGGGCUGCCAACAGACCUCCAGCAUGUUUUCAAAUGUUAAAAUCUGCCUUCUGGUCUCUUCCUCAAAUCAGGGAAACCCCUGUUUUCUUAGAUCCUCCAUCGCCUAUGUAUCAAGCUUAUUCUCACCCAGCCUGCCUUCCCCACCUGUUCACUUAAUGUCUAAUUAUUACCCGCACAGGAGAGAGCAGACAAAUUGUAAUUACCCUGCAUCAAUCAGAUAUUAAGUUAUUUGCAAUUCAAAGCAGCCAUCCUGUCUCUCCCCCCCCCCCCCAAAAACGCAGAUAAACAAGUUUUAUAAUACGAAACUUAAAACUGUGGGAAGAAGGUGUUGGCUUCCAGAUAGAUGAUUUGCAGUCCCUGCAAACUCGAGACACCUGAGUGUGUGUGUGUGUGUGUGUGUGUGUGUGUGUGUGUGUCGGGAGCAUCUUAGGCAAUUUCCUUCCAAUGGGUUUUGUGCCCAACCCAUCUCCCCGGUUCAUGGCAAUGAGAGGUGUGAGAGGGAGUCAAGGGGAGGCACUCGUUGGCUGGAUGGGGCACAUUAUUUUGUGAACAUUUCAAGCAUUUGCUGUAGGAACGUAGGUGCUUGGAGGUUUGCAGUAGAUAGAGGUCCUGGAAGUAAGGGAAAUUUUGAGGUUGGGAUUUAAACUUUAAAAGGAGAAUGCAAAAGACCAAGAGAAGAGAGAUGGAUAUGGGGUCAGGAACAGAUUUUGCCUGUUAAUUUUCAGAACAGCUCAUCAGUGUGUGUGUGUGUGUGUGUGUGUGUGUGAAGUAUCAAUAUUUCAGUCCUUCAUAGCUUUCUCCAUUUUUCUCUAGGUCCUGAAUAAGAUUUUUCCAUGUGGCCUUCACUGAGAAAGUAGUUAAGCUAAAUAACAAUAGAAUUGAGACUUAUAUACAGCUUCGCAGCCCUCUCUAAGUAUUUACGGAGUCAGCCUCUUGCCCCCAACAAUCUGGAUCCUCAUUUUACGCACCUCAGAAGGAUGGAAGGCUGAGUCAACCUUGAGCCGUUCAGGAUCGAACUGAUGGCAGUGGGCAGAAUUAACCUGCACUACUGCAUUCUAACUGGAAGGAAGGAAGGGGAAGGGAAGGAAGGAAGGUAGCAAUAGCCUUUAGACUUAUAUACCGCUUCACAGUGUUUUGCGGCCCCCUCUAAACAGUUUACAGAGUCAGCCUCUUGCCCCCAACAACCUGGGUCCUCAUCUUACCCACCUCGGAAGGAUGGAAGGCCGAGUCAACCUUGAACCGGUAAGGAUCAAACUCCUGGCAGUGGGCAGAGCUAGCCUGCAAUGCUGCAUUCUAACCACUGCCCCACCACAGCUCUUUAAAUGCCAGACACUCAAGGUUAUUCCCUGAGCAUCGCAGCUCCUUAGUUACUAAAGCCAGCCCACAGCCAAGUGACCUGGAGCUUCAAAAAUUUCUAGAGCUCCAGAAUGUUUUCAAGUGGAGCGUGAACAGAAGAUCUGCACCGUCUCUGGACCACUCAGGUUUCUACAUGCAAUUAAAGUCAUUUGACAGAAAGGCACCAUAAAAUAAAUGGGGGGGGGGGCUAUUCCCUGUUACACAAUUCUGCCUUAAGCAGGCAUAUAUUUCAAGAACGCCCUUUCUUAACUACAGGAAGUCCUUGACUUAUAACUUUCUGUAUAGUGACCAUUCAAAGUCACAAUGGCACUCAAAAAGUGAUGAUUGCUUUUCACAUUUAUGAUCACUGCAGCAUCCCCAUAAUCAUGUGAUCAAGAUUCAGGCACUUGGCAACUGACUCAUAUUUAUGACAGUUGCAGAGUCCCCGGGUUACAUUGGAGCAAUACCCAAAAGGUUGCCUAGAUAUAUGGAAAUGUUGAAGUUAUCAGACUUGAAUAUUCUGACUUUGCAAAAAAAACCCAAAACCCCACCUUACUCAGAACUUCCUAUAUAUUCAGAAGUUACCGUAACAGCUAAAAGUGGGGAAUUUUCUCUGGCUUUUUUUUAUUAUUCAUAUUUAUAUGCCGCCCUUCUCCGGAGACUCAGGGCUGCUUACAAUUUUGGAGCAACCCAAUGCGCUCAGCAAUAGCCUUCAUUCCAUUGUAUAUGCCUGCUUAUUACUAAGCAGCAUUUUUACAAAGUCAGCUUAUUGCCCCCAACAAUCUUGGGUCCUCAAUUUACCUACCCCGAUAGGAUGGAAGGCUGAGUCAACCCUGAGCCUGGUGGGAUUCGAGCCUGCACUAAUUGCAGGCAGCUGGAACUAAG
Long non-coding RNA from Naja naja (Indian cobra), 3377 nucleotides. Lineage: Eukaryota; Metazoa; Chordata; Lepidosauria; Squamata; Elapidae. The record is from Ensembl.